GACGAACGCUGGCGGCGUGCUUAACACAUGCAAGUCGAACGGAAAGGCCCUUCGGGGUACUCGAGUGGCGAACGGGUGAGUAACACGUGGGUGAUCUGCCCUGCACUUUGGGAUAAGCCUGGGAAACUGGGUCUAAUACCGGAUAGGACCACGGCAUUCAUGUGCUGUGGUGGAAAGCUUUUGCGGUGUGGGAUGGGCCCGCGGCCUAUCAGCUUGUUGGUGGGGUAAUGGCCUACCAAGGCGACGACGGGUAGCCGGCCUGAGAGGGUGACCGGCCACACUGGGACUGAGAUACGGCCCAGACUCCUACGGGAGGCAGCAGUGGGGAAUAUUGCACAAUGGGCGCAAGCCUGAUGCAGCGACGCCGCGUGAGGGAUGACGGCCUUCGGGUUGUAAACCUCUUUCGCCUGGGACGAAGCGCAAGUGACGGUACCUGGAGAAGAAGGACCGGCCAACUACGUG
This 462-nucleotide ribosomal RNA is filed under the name uncultured bacterium. RNAcentral's name for it is "partial 16S ribosomal RNA". It matches the Rfam family "Bacterial small subunit ribosomal RNA", at positions 28 to 507 of the family's 1533-position model. The record is from RNAcentral.